AUAAAACCACGAUUGGACUUUUGUAACAUUACUUGUGGCCAAAUAUCUAGACUAACUAUUGUUCUGUUGUGGGUCGCACCCCUUAUUCCCUCUGUCCGUCCCCUAAAACCCUUUUCCAUAUGGCUGCAUUUUCAAUUAACAUCAGAAUAAUUAAAGAACACACACCUACAACAAUGGGCGGCUUCUCCCAUGCAAGGCACUGCCCGGCCCCCGCUGGGAGCAAAUCAGGGUUCAGUGUCUUGCCCAAGGACACUUCGACAUGUGAACAGUUGGAGCCAGGAUUCGAACCAGCAACCCUUCAGUCACUGGAGGACCCGCUCUUCCAACUGAUCCAUAGCCGCCAAAUACAAUAGAGGUUCGAGUCUUCAAAGAGGACUGAUUUGCAUCUUACGAGAUAAGGGUACCAUUUGUGCACCAGGCCAGUGUGUUAGACGCCAGCAGGCGGGUGUGGGUAUUUCAUGGAGACAGAGUGUCACCUUGUGGCCACCUUCCGACCACCUUCCGGCCCAACGGAAACCAGUCUUCUACCGGGGGACCAUCGACUCAGAACCACAGGCGAAAAAAUUAACCUAAAAGUGGCGCCACGAACAGGAUUCUUUGCUGCACUUCCAGGCGACGACACCGCAGGGCCGCUUCAGAUUUGCCGGCUAGAAGAGCGGCUCCAAAUACCGGAGACAAAUUCCUUGUGUGUUUUUUGGACAUACUUGGCAAAUAAAGAUGAUUCUGAUGAUUCUGUGAUGAUUCUGAGGAGAGCCACACGCCCCCCACAACCCGCACAGCCCGCGAUGCUGCCAGUCCCAGCCCAGCCCGAGGGUAUAUAAUAUACACACACACACACACACACACACACACACACACACACACACCCCUCCUUGUGCCAUCACCUAAUCAUGGUGGAGGGGUUUGUGUGUCCCAAUGAUCCUAGGAGCUAAGUUAUCUGGGGCUUCACGCCCCUGGUAGGGUCACCCAUGGCAAACAGGUCCUAGGUGAGGGACUAGACAAAGCAUGGCUCCAAAACCCCCUAUGAUUAAUAAAAUAGAUGGAUGUAGGUUUCCUUUUCCCGGACGUGGGUCACAACAGCCCCCAUCAGGAGCCAGGCCUGGAGGCCGAGCCUGCGCCCAUAGGGCCUGGCCAGGCACAGCCCGAAAGGAUAACAUGGGUUCCCCUUCCCAUGGGCUCACCACCUGUGGGAGGGAACCAUAGGGGUCUGGUGCAGUGUGAGCUGGACGGUGGCCCAAGGCGGGGACAUUGGCGAUCCGAUCCCCGGCUACAGAAGCUGGCUCUAGGUACGGGGAAUGUCACCUCUCUGGCAACAGGAGCCCAAGUUGGUGUGUGAGGUUGAGAAGUUCCGAUUAGAUAUAGUCGAGCUUGCCUCUACAUAUUGCUUGGGCUCUGGUACCAGUCCUCUUGAGAGGUGUUGGAGUCUCUUACACUCUGGAGUUGCCCACGGUGAGAGGCGCUGAGCAGGUGUUGUUAUACUUAUGUAUUGCCCUCCGGCUCGGUGCCUGUACAUUGGGGUUUCCCAAUGGGGUGGACGGGAGGGUAGCCUCCCUCCGCCUUCAGAGUAUCCACCCUUUUUGGAGUCCUUGGAGGGGAUGCUGGAGAGGGCUCCCGCUCGGGACUCCCAUCGUUUUGCUGGGGGCUUUCAAUGCUCAUGUGGGCAAUGACAGUGAGACCUGGGUGUGAUGUGAAGGGUGUGAUUGGGAAGAACGGCACCCCCCCAGGACUUCUGUGCUCAUCACGGGUUGUCCAUAACGAACACCAUGCUCAUGUCCACACGUGCACUCGGCACCAGGACACCCGAGGUCGCAGUUCGAUGAUCGACUUUGUGGUCGUGUCCCCGGACUUGCGGCCGCAUGUCAUGGACACUCGGGUGAAGACAGGGGCUAUCACCUGAUCACCACCUGGUGGUGAGUAGGCUCCGAUGGUGGGGGAAGAUGCCGGUCUGACCUGGCAGGCCCAAAUGUAUUGUGAGGAUCUGCUGGGAACGUCUGGCAGAGUCCCCAACUCCCACCUCCGGCAGAACUUCAUCCACGUCUCGGGGAAGGCGGGGGACAUUGAGUCAGAGUGGACCAUGUUCCGUGCCUCCAUUGCCAAGGCGACCGACCGGAGCUGUGGUAAGCGGUGCCUGUUGUGGUAGCAAUCCCCGAAGCCGUUGGUGGACACCAGCGGUGAGGGAUGCCGUCAAGCUGAAGAAGGAGUCCUGUUAGGCCUUUUUGGCCUGUGGGACACCUGAGGCAGCUGAUUGAUACUGGCUGGCCAAGCGGAAUGCAGCUUUUGUGGUUGCUGAGGCAAAAGCUCGGACAUGGGAGGAGUUCGGUGAGGUCAUGGAAAACGACUUCCGGACGGCUAUGCCAAAAGGCGAAGCUCUCAAUUUACUGGUCGAUCUAUGUUCCACAGGGUGUCCGGGCUCUCCUUUAGAGAUAGGGGGAGAAGCUCGGUCAUCCAGGAGGGUCUCAGAGUAGAGCCGCUGCUCCUCCGCAUUGAGAGGAGCCAGAUGAGGUGGCUCGGGCAUCUGAUUAGUAUGCCUCCAGGACGCCCCCCUGGUUAGGUGUUCCGGGCAUGUCCUACCGGGAGGAGACCCCAGGGACGACCCAGGACACGCUGGAGAGACUACAUCUCUUGGCUGGCCUGGGAGCGCCUAGGGAUCCCCCCCGGGGGAGCUGGAUGAGGUGGUCUGCAACAACUCUAAUAGGCCUACUGCUGCUAAGCAGCAAUGGCCUUUCAAAACCUGAUUAACAUUUCCAUAUGGAUGAUUACAGCUGCAGUUACAGACUUUGUUUGUUGUUAUUGUAUUGUUAUUGUCAUUUAUUGUACAGUAUUUAUAUAUUUGUCAUUUUCUGUUGAUUAAAAUAAAAGAGAGAGUGCUAGAUGAUUGUGGGCUUACAAUAUCUGUUUAUGAAUGUAUUUUUUCAAUUGGUCAAUAUUUAACUUUUUCACCAUGAACGGAAAUUUUAUGAGGAAUUUGGGUACAAAGUAGCUUGGGGCUCCCUUGGCUUUUUCAAGUCUCUUUUUUUUCAGGUUUCUGUGUACUGCCUUGUGAAUUUACAGCACUGCUUCGUUCACAUCUGGUUGUCUGACAGAGAUGUUGUAAAAGCAGCUUUUUAAUUAGUUGGGAGCUUGAAGCUCUGGACGAGAAGUUGCCACACUCUAUCCCUGCUCAUACCAAGGUCAACGACUGCAAUUGACAUGAUUGGAUCGAAGACCUACUUGUGACCUUGCGUGACGAAAAAAAAAAAAAAAAAAAAGAAAUAAAUUAGUGAAAUAGAAAAAAAAAUUCUAUGACUGUUCAGCUAAAUGCUUUUCGCUUCACUUUGCUUUUUCUUGUGUGUUAAAAGUAGGUUUGUUUCUUUAAAAAAGUAUUAUCUAUCUGGCACCGUCGUUCGAAAUGUCGAGAAAGACAAUGAAACCAGAGAAGUUUGGGGAGGCCACAGAGACCAACUUCAAGGAACCCGAG
Molecule: long non-coding RNA, 3457 nt
Organism: Phyllopteryx taeniolatus (common seadragon)
Lineage: Eukaryota; Metazoa; Chordata; Actinopteri; Syngnathiformes; Syngnathidae
Exons: 4
Source: RefSeq, a predicted model, not a curated record